GAUGAACGCUGGCGGCGUGCCUAAUACAUGCAAGUCGAGCGAACAGACGAGGAGCUUGCUCCUCUGACGUUAGCGGCGGACGGGUGAGUAACACGUGGAUAACCUACCUCUAAGACUGGGAUAACUUCGGGAAACCGGAGCUAAUACCGGAUAAUAUAUUGAACCGCAUGGUUCAAUAGUGAAAGACGGCUUUGCUGUUACUUAUAGAUGGAUCCGCGCCGCAUUAGCUAGUUGGUAAGGUAACGGCUUACCAAGGCAACGAUGCGUAGCCGACCUGAGAGGGUGAUCAGCCACACUGGAACUGAGACACGGUCCAGACUCCUACGGGAGGCAGCAGUAGGGAAUCUUCCGCAAUGGGCGAAAGCCUGACGGAGCAACGCCGCGUGAGUGAUGAAGGUCUUCGGAUCGUAAAGCUCUGUUAUUAGGGAAGAACAAAUGUGUAAGUAACUAUGCACGUCUUGACGGUACCUAAUCAGAAAGCCACGGCUAACUACGUG
This 497-nucleotide ribosomal RNA is filed under the name uncultured bacterium. RNAcentral's name for it is "partial 16S ribosomal RNA". It matches the Rfam family "Bacterial small subunit ribosomal RNA", at positions 28 to 507 of the family's 1533-position model. The record is from RNAcentral.